Molecule: transfer RNA, 94 nt
Filed under: Candidatus Cloacimonadota bacterium
Lineage: Bacteria; Pseudomonadati; Candidatus Cloacimonadota
Description: tRNA-Ser
Rfam family: tRNA
About the family: Transfer RNA (tRNA) molecules are approximately 80 nucleotides in length. Their secondary structure includes four short double-helical elements and three loops (D, anti-codon, and T loops).
Source: RNAcentral
GGAUAUGUGACUGAGCCUGGCUUAAGGUACUCGCCUGGAAAGCGAGCGCAGACCGAAAGGUCUGCCAGAGGUUCGAAUCCUCUCGUAUCCGCCA